UGCAGAACAAUGUUUGUACCCUGCAAGACGGAGGUAACAGAUUGCACAAACACAUUUAAACAUUAUCAGCUGUUCACUAACACUGUUACAUAUUCUGGAAUUUUCAAUUGAAUGGGAGAUUACAAUAGGGUAGACGAAUACCCAAUUUUUCAAGAAGAAGAAAACGAAAAGCGCAGUUUAUUUUGGAUUUUAAAGAGAGAAAAGGAAAAAGAUUAAAAAAGAGAAAAAGAAAUCGGUUGGACCAUUUGGAAAAUUCUAAUCUAUUACGUAUAACAAACAAAUAAGAGAGUAAUUUUUAAAUUAUUAGAGUUAAAUAGUGCAUAUUUAAUUCAAACAGUUGUUAUAGAUAGUGAAUUUUUGUGAAAUAUGUAAUUUGUGCUUUAUAUCUACAUAUAUGUAAAUGUAAAAAAUUUAAAAUAUAAAUUGAAACAAAUUGUCCGGUUGCAAUUAUAAUUGUGUAGAAUUUAGAAUAUCCAGGAUUUCGGGAAUAAAAUAGGUAUGGUCGGAUAGAGGAGGUUCUGCAGAUCAAUAGUGUAAUCCUUUAAUUGAUGUUAAAUAAAUAUAAUUGAACAAUAAGUUAAUAUUAAAAAAAAUCCACACGAAUUGGUGAAGUGUUAGUGGACAUAAAAAUGCGAAAGGGUCGGCUUUAGUAUACCGUCCCAGGAUUUCGGGUAUGGUCGGAUAGAGGAGACUCUCCAGAUCACGAACAGUGUGACAGUUUGUAAUUCAUUUAUUAUUCUUAAAGAAUCAUAAUUCAACAAUAAUUUAAAUGUAUAUUAAAAGCUAUUUUUGAAAUAUAUUAUAUAAAAUAAAUGCGUACAAAUGAAUUAGUGAAGUGUUAGUGGAUAUUAAAGUGCAAAAAUAUAAGUGCAAAAUUAAUUUUAUAUAUCGAAAAUAUGUAAUUAAAAUAUUGCAAAUUUUCAACUUUAAACGCGAAUAUCUCGUAAACUAUGAGCUUCCUGCGGCUAUAACUAUAUAUAUCCUUGAUCAGGAUAAUCUCCUCUAUCCAACCAUAUCCUUUUUAUCCUUGAAAUCCUGGGACGGUAUACUAAAUUCUUCCCCGCAAAUAUCUCGAAUAUUCCCGCGAGUAUAAGUAUAUAUACUCUUGAACUGAAGAACCUCCUCUUUAACUAAAAAUGUUUACUUGUUCGUUUAAGAUAUCUGUUCGUAUGCAGAAUAUCUAAAUUUGUUUAAAAUAAAAACAACAUUAGUGUUUUAUAAUGAAUAAAAGUGAACAUAGUUCGAAUAUGCAUAUACGCAUUCCUGCUCCGAAGCAUGAUUUUAAAAAUUAAAUUAAAAUUAAAAUAUCAUUAAUCAUCACAUUUUUUAUGAUUUUUCAUAGAAUGAAUUUUGAUGACCUCGUGGAAGAAAUGGAUUCCGAAGUUGAAUCCUCACAACCGUUGAGCCCCCAUAGAGGUUGUAUUGAACAUAAAUAUUUUUCAUUUUUUAAUAAUAUUUUUUUACAGAUAAAGUGUUUAAAAAAUAUCAUACGUUUAUAUGCAAUCAUGUGUAUUCAUAUGAAUUCUUUUUGUGCAUAUUUAUAAAUACAUGUGCAAUUGAAUACAUUUGAAUUAAAUUACUUUUUCAAAGCAAUAUUCGUAGUUAAUGUGAAAAUAAAGAAUAUUUUUUAAUUAUUUUUUGUAUUUGAUAUAUUCAUACUUAUAUGUAUACUUCAUUACAUAUGUAUAUAACAAACUAUCAUAAUAUAUUAAAAAAAUUAAAUAUAUUAUAAUAGCGAUAAAUGUAAAUAAAUCGUAUAUAUUAUCAUUUAAAACUUAUAUUCACAUGUAUCAUGAUCGUAUGUGUUUAUGUUCGCUUUCGCGAAUUCAAAUCAUAUUGUCACUAUAUGCCACAUAUGUAUGUAAAUAUGUACACUUAUGGCUACAUACCACAUUUUUAUGUAUACAUGUACACUCAGUGCUUCUUGCAAAAGAAGCUCAAGUUUUGUCAAUGUCGACCGACCGACCCGACGACAAAGCGUCACAACAUUGUGUUGUUGGUGGAAAAUCCAGCUGUGCCGAAAAAAUAAGCGAAAAAUCGUUGAUUAUCACCGCUUCCCUUGUCGCUCUAACACAGUGUUUCCCAAAGUGGGCGAUAACGCCCCCUUGUGGACGCUGCAGGUGUCAAGGGGGCGGUAAGAGAUCCAGAAAUAAAAUGGCGUUGUGUAGAGGCUUGGGUUUUAUUUGUAAUUUUAUUUAGCUAGGAGGCCUCUUAGACAACGACUACAUGAGCUCUCGAAUCUCAACAACAACUUGUGAACAUUAACUAAUAUGAAUUAAAAGAUUGCUCAAACUCCUAUUUUAUUGAAUAUAGAAAAAAUGAAAAUCAUGUCAAUCGGUCGCUCGGUUUAAUAACGGGGCAUCUCGACAGGAUAUAAUUUAUAGAAUACUUACUGUGAAACGUAUUGCUAUUGCCAUUGCCAAGUCUGUAUGUGGGCAUUUGCUAUCAUAAUAUAAUCAUUUGCGCAAAGGUGUAGGGUAGAUAGGUUCGAGCUGAUGUAGCGAAUGCUUUGAGCUCUUGAAUAAUUUAUUUUAUCACUUGCGAAAUGGCGUCGGGCAGGUAGCUAAUGUAACGCACGUUUUGAGCUUUUGAACUCCUUAAAUCUUUUAUGUGGAAAAUAAAAAAAGGAUCUUUAUCCUUUAUUACAAAUGUAUUUCUGGAAAAAAUAAGAUAAUACGAAAAGGGGAAAGAUCCUUUGUUUACAAAUGUAUUUCUAGGAAAAAUAAGAAUUCAUAUUUUUGGAAUACUAUAUAAUAAUUGUGCUUAAGCAUUCCUAUAUAAACAAUGUAAUAUUUAUUUUAUAUUCAUUUGUGGUUCUGCGCGCUGAGCAUUACUUACGCCUCCUUUACACUACUCGCGAAGUUAAACGUAUUUCUAAAAGCAAACCAAUGCCGGAAGUAAAAAAGAAGAGACGGCAAUACUGUGCGGAAUACAUUAAAAUCGGGUUCAUUGAAAAUCCCACAAACCCAUCCUCGCCUUUGUGUCUUCUAUGUCUAAAAACAUUUUCGAAUGAAGCAAUGAAGCCUUCAAGACUGCAAGAUCAUUUGAAUAAAAUGCAUCCAGAUAAGAGAGACAAUAAUGUAGCAUAUUUUCAAGACCUAGAGAAGAAGCAUAAUACUCAGCCAAGUGUAGCAAAAUUAUUUUCGGCGGUUGCUAAGCAAGAUGGCGACGGACUUCAAGCUUCGUACAAUAUCUCUUUGUUAAUUGCUCAAAAAGGCAAACCACAUAACAUCGGAGAAGAGUUAAUAUUGCCAGCAUAAAAUGAAGUAAUAACUACCGUGCUUCAUAAACCGGCCGCAGAUAUUAUCCGAAAAAUUCCUUUGAGUAAUAAUUCUGUGCAAAGACGAAUUGAUGAAAUGGCUGAAAACAUUGAAGAAUCAUUGUGCGAUCACCUGAGGACAAGCCAAUUCUCAAUUCAGCUCGAUGAGUCCACUUUACCAACUAAUGAAGCAUUGUUGUUGUCUUACGUGAGGUUUAUUAAAAAUGAGAAAAUAUGUGAAGAACUAUUAUUUGAUAGAAAUUUAGAGAGAGAUACAAAAGUCGAAACCAUAUUCAAUAUAUUGGAAAAGUUUUGCGAUGAGAAAGGGAUUCCUUUGGAAAAUAUUAUUUCAAUUGCUACGGAUGGCGCUCCGGCUAUGAUAGGGUGCCAUAAAGGCUCAAUAGCGCACUUGAAAAAUAAAAUUCCAGAUGUUCUUGGUGUACAUUGCGUUAUUCAUAGACAACAUUUAGUUGCUAGAAACUUAAGUGAAAAACUAUUUCAAUCACUGCAAUAUGUCAUCAAAGCAGUCAAUAAAAUCCGCAACAGCUCUUUGAAUGAUAGAUUAUUUCAUCGGCUUUGUGUUACUAAUGACUAGGAUUUCAAUCGUUUGUUGUUUCAUACUGAAGUUCGUUGGCUAUCAAGAGGCAAUUGUCUGACUUGAUUCUACAACCUGUUUGACUCUGUUAUAGAAUUCUUGGAAACUAAAGAUACAGAAUUUCAAGGCAAGCUCAUAACAUCAAAGAAUGAAUGAAUGAAUAUAGCUUACAUGACAGACCUGUAUAAAUUGUUCAACGACGUGAAUCUCCAACUGCAAGGCGAUAAACUAAAUUUAAUUAAAACAAAAAACGUCGUUGCUGCUUUCGCAGCCAAACUGCUUCUACACAAAAAGAAUCUGGGCAGACGUGAGUUUCACAAUUUUCCGAAUAUAUCAGUAUCAUGCAGUAACGACGAAUUGUUUACCUAGUGCCAACAUUUAGAAAACCUCCACAUUGACUUCACCGAACGAUACCAGGACAUUUUGAACUUGAAAAUACAAGACUGGGUGUUGGAUCCGUUUUCAAAUGUCAACACAGCAAUGUCACCUCAGCUGGAAGAAGAACUUAUAGAAUUGACAACAAACGAGGAAAUAAAAAUCAAGUUCAAAAAUGGUUACCAAGAAUUUUGGCUACAAAAACCGAUCUCGCAAUUGUACCCUGGAUUGUGGUCAAUCGUUUAACGAUUCUUGAUAGCAUUCCCAUCGUCAUAUUUGUGUGAACGUGGAUUUAGUGCUGUGACAACACUGCUUACUAAAAAUAGAAAUCGUUUGCUUGUUACCGAACGCGGCGACUUGCGAGUGUUCUUGAGUAAAUUGGAACCUGAUAUUAACAAAAUUAUUCAACAGCAUCAGAUUCAUACUUCACAUUAGUUUUUAUAUAUGGAUCGAUUAUUUUAGUUUUAUUUUUAAUAAAGGAUUCUCUGUUUUAAUACUAUAAAGUUGUGUUUCAAUAAUCAUUCUUAUUGGCAGGUGGAGCCCGUAAGAGUUAACUUGAAACCUAAGCGCCGUUGUAUGUUACCUAUUGCGCUCAGGUUUCAAGUUGCUGGUUAUAGUAAAAGUUUCGUUUAGAAUCCUCCGUUAAUAUACAUAUAUAGGUCACAAUAAUUAAUUUGAAGUUAUAGUGGUUUUUAAAUAUGGGGAAAAAUGUAGGCGCUAAAGAAAUAUUUGUUCUCAAAGUGGGCGGUAGACAAAAUAAGUUUGGGAACCACUGCUCUAACAGCUCUACCACGAACUUGCGUAAAUAUGUAUGAAGAUGUAUGAGCGUACAUAUCGACGCAGAUUUUUGCGAGCACGGAAAAAUAUUUUAGAACUGACAAGUAUUAUAAAUCGACAACAGCUAUGUUGCCACUUUUCUCACUUCGUUCUGUGAAGAAACAUCAGAAAGUUGUUCAAUUCACGAUUUUCAGUUUUCGCCAUCGUCGCGAAAAGACUCUUGUAGGCAAAGGCAUGCUCGGGGAGAUGUAAUAGUGUUUGAUUUUAUGAAUGAAGCGAGUUUGCCUGUUGAAAGUGCGCUUGCGUUCAGCAAAAUAAUUGCAACAUUUUGCGCGAAUUGUGACCGAAUGUAAAAGUUUAACCAUGAAUUUUUUAAUAAAUAUAGCGAUAGAUAAUUUUGAAAGCAGUGAUAAUAACUUGCUGUUCAAGUACGGAAAAAAUAGAAAACAAAGUUUUUUAAGAAAGAGAAAGUGGUACCUCGCUGAAAUUUCAAAAAAGAGGAGAGUGACGAAGAUGUCAAAGGUUUGGAAAACAAUUCCAUUAUACCAUAAUGAUACAUAUUUCACGCAUUUUCUCAUGACUCGUGAAACAUUUGCAGUAAGUAUUGUUGUUUACUUUUUGGAAGUACCUGAUAAAUAAAUUAAUUUGUCUUAGGACUUGAAAAAUGCGUUAGAACCUUUUUGGUCAACAUCACGCGAGGAAUAUUCCUUGGAACAUUCCUUGCAUAUGACUCUUUGGAGGCUAAGCAAUAGUAGAGUCACAUAUCGCGAGCUUGCAGAUAGAUUUAUUGUUGGGCAAGGAACUGCCCACAAACUUUUCCUCAAAACAAGCAAGACAAUCUGCAAACUUAAAAACGAAAUAUGUUGGCCGUCAAUUUCACAGCAGAAAAAAAUAAUGGAAAACUUUCAAACAAGCCGGGUAAAUUCAUUUCCUUUUGUUGUCAGAUGCUUAGAUGGAACGCAUACCAAAUUAUGUAACACUCUUCAAACGGAUGCAAUUAGUUAUUAUGACCGUAAAGGAAAUUUUUCAGUUGUUAUGCAGGUAUGUACUUGGCUAAUAGAUCUGUUUUAAGAUUGGUGUUAUAUAUUCAAUUAUUUAGGCCAUAUGCGACAGUAAGUUCUGUUUUUAGAUGUGUUCAUCGGAUACCCAGGUAGCUGUCAUGAUGCCAAUGUGUGGAAAAAUAGUCCAAUUUACAAAGGGAUCACAUCUGGAGAAAUAAAACUUGCGAAAGAUGCAAUUAUUCUAGCCGAUUCAUCAUAUCCUGUUUCAAGAUACUUAACUGGUACUUAAUAGAGAUAACGGACACCUUUCCAGAGAGGAAAAACAAUUCAACUAUUAUAUGAGUUCAACCCGAGUAUUUAUCGAGCAAACAUUUGGAAUUUUCAGGGUUAAGUUCAAAAUAUUGAAUCAUAUUGAUAUGCGAAAUAUAGAAGACAUAUCAACUGUGAUAUUAUCUUGCGCAAUUUUACAUAAUUUUAUACUGCGAAGCAGU
Molecule: long non-coding RNA, 6498 nt
Organism: Bactrocera neohumeralis
Lineage: Eukaryota; Metazoa; Arthropoda; Insecta; Diptera; Tephritidae
Exons: 4
Source: RefSeq, a predicted model, not a curated record